GCGGGUGUAACUCAAUGGUAGAGCGCCAGCCUUCCAAGCUGGAUACGUGGGUUCGAUUCCCAUCACCCGCUCCA
Molecule: transfer RNA, 74 nt
Filed under: Bacillota bacterium
Lineage: Bacteria; Bacillati; Bacillota
Also listed under: 4 other names
Description: tRNA-Gly
Rfam family: tRNA
About the family: Transfer RNA (tRNA) molecules are approximately 80 nucleotides in length. Their secondary structure includes four short double-helical elements and three loops (D, anti-codon, and T loops).
Source: RNAcentral